UACGUAGGGUGCGAGCGUUAAUCGGAAUUACUGGGCGUAAAGCGUGCGCAGGCGGUUCGUUGUGUCGGCGGUGAAAGCCCCGGGCUCAACCUGGGAAUGGCCGUUGAAACUGGCGAACUGGAGUGUGGCAGAGGGGGGUGGAAUUCCGCGUGUAGCAGUGAAAUGCGUAGAGAUGCGGAGGAACACCGAUGGCGAAGGCAGCCCCCUGGGCUGACACUGACGCUCAGGCACGAAAGCGUGGGGAGCAAACAGGAUUGAGAUACC
RNAcentral lists this ribosomal RNA (264 nucleotides) under uncultured bacterium. RNAcentral's name for it is "partial 16S ribosomal RNA". It matches the Rfam family "Bacterial small subunit ribosomal RNA", at positions 524 to 786 of the family's 1533-position model. The record is from RNAcentral.